This 1802-nucleotide long non-coding RNA is filed under the name Malus domestica (apple). RNAcentral describes it as "long non-coding RNA (MDOM_LNC015649)". Lineage: Eukaryota; Viridiplantae; Streptophyta; Magnoliopsida; Rosales; Rosaceae. The record is from RNAcentral.
GGAAAUAUAAAAACUGAACAACUUUUCUAGGUGUUAUAAAUAUUUAAGGCUGAAAUUUUCUUUGUCUUUGUGAUAUUAAUUUUUUUUGUCAUGAUUGCAAGUUUUUGAAAAAAUUCACCUUCACAGACUCUUUAAAAAUGGAUAAAGGCUGUUGCUAAUCGGUAUAAAAAAGGUAUGAAUAAAAUGUCUGAGAUUAUAUGAUUUGAUUUGAUUUUGUAAUGUGUGAUUUUCGUUGUGGAUUAAUUUCUGAAAUCAUUAUGGAUUGUGCUAAUUUCAUGUUUUUGCAUUUGGUUGAUGUUUGUUUUACAAGGAUUUUCUAUGAAUCUGUUUAUUAUCAGCGGUGUUGUCAAACUAUUUGGAUUAUAAAACUGUUUUCGUUUGGUUUUUAACUGAUUUGUUAAAAAAAAAAAUGCUAACAUUUUAUUGUUCUAAAGUGAUUAAACUCAUGUGUUUUCGUUUUGAUGCAAAGUUGGCAGUUUUGUUCUCUUUGAAUAUCAGUUUACUGUGACCAAUUGUCAUUUUGUUGGUGAAAAACUUUUUAAAUUAGAAGGCUAUUGUAACUUAGUUUUGCAGUUGCUGAUAAAAAAAAAAAAUAAUGUUUUUUAUAAUUGUAUUAAUACAUUUUGUUAGCUUUUUUGGUCUUCACAUUUUGUUUGGUAGCUUUUAUGCCCCUUGACAUUUGUUUUCCUAAGUGAAUCAUUUAAUGUCCAUGUUCAUUGAGAUGUUUUCUUUUGGUAUAAACCUAUAAUAAUUUUUUCUUUUUAAUUAUUGAUUACUAGAGCCAAUGCUAAUUUUAAAUUACUGAUUUUUUAAGUAUAGUUGUUACAUCUCGGAUUAACUGAUUGAUGUAGAAAGCUGCACUAUAGAGGUUGAUUUUUUAAAUACAUUGGACAACAUAAUUGUUUUAAUUAGUAAUGUAUUCUUUUACCUGUUUUUUAAAUAUUCAUGUUUUGUGAAAAACUAGACCUAGCAUUCGUGUUGUGUUUUCCGUGUUCGUGUCAUUUUUGUGUCAUACCUGAUAUCUUAACUGGUCGUGUCGUGUAACACUCGUUAAAAUAAACAGGUAAAAUGAUCCGACCGAAAAUUGACAGGAUAAUUUUAACAAGUAAUAUGAUCCGAUUCGUUACCUGGAAAGUAUAUUUUAAACCAAUAAAUAAUCAAAUGAAAAACAUAAUACUAAAUAAGUAUAUACAUAUUAUAUUGUCAUAUUCAAAAUAUAAAAACGCAUUUUUCUUUUAAGUAUAUUUUCGCUUACUUAAAUUGAUCAAAUGGUAAAAUUGGAAAAUAUUGGAAUAGAGAAGGGGGUUUUUCGUCCAAAAAAGUUCUAAUAAUAUAAGUGAAAUAGAAUCCAACGGUACAGAUUCACUCUAUCUUACCGCUGUUAUUUAAAUAAAGUCUUUAAUAGUUUUUUAAUUAACGUAGAAGUGUAAAAAAUAUAGAAAAAAAAUAUAUAAAUGCUCGUAAUGACAAAUUUUACAACUUUCAUGAAGAGUUUAACUUCGAAAUUUGCUACUAUAAUUAUAUAAAUUAUAGAUCAAAAUUUAACCGUUGAUUGUUGUUUAUAUUUACGCUUCAUUGUUCUUAUCAAUUUUUUUAUUUUUUUAUUUUUUUUUUCAGAUUUUCCUUUUUGAAAACAUGAUCUAUUAGAGGAUGCAGGAAGAUGAACGGUUUGGAUCGUUGAUAUUAUAUUCAGAGUUUUAUGGUUAGUGAAAAUAUUGCUUGAUGUUUAUAAAGUUUCUACAAACUAUAUGACAUCGACUUAUAUAUCAAUUAACCAUAAAUAUUGAAGCAUGAUAUCAAAG